UUGGCUCCUUACCUUUGGGUGGGAACACUUGUGAGUUGGUUUGAGAUCACCAAGCAUGCUUGAAUUGUAUAUUAUUGCUUUUAUUAUUUUGUUUACUAACCAAAAGCAUAAAAAUAUGUCACUAACAUCUUUUGUUUGUAGCUUGAGCAGUCACAAGAUCCAAUGCUCAUAGAAGCCCCUAUGCUCAUUGAUAUGGCUAGGUGAAGAUGAAAGCAAGCAUGACAAUUGUUCCCAAGGCUCUCAUCCAUCAAAUAUGCCUCCCAAGU
Molecule: long non-coding RNA, 266 nt
Filed under: Lathyrus oleraceus (garden pea)
Lineage: Eukaryota; Viridiplantae; Streptophyta; Magnoliopsida; Fabales; Fabaceae
Description: Pisum sativum (pea) long non-coding RNA (PSAT_LNC036326)
Source: RNAcentral